Etheostoma spectabile (orangethroat darter) is the source of this 155-nucleotide long non-coding RNA. RefSeq lists it as uncharacterized. Lineage: Eukaryota; Metazoa; Chordata; Actinopteri; Perciformes; Percidae. The record is from RefSeq and is a predicted model, not a curated record. The transcript is spliced from 3 exons.
GGGAGAUCGAGGGCCAAACGGUAGUCAAGGAGUUCCUGGGCCUCGAGGUGACAAGGGUCGAGAGGGUCAAGCAGGAUUUUAUGGGUUGCCAGGUCCAAUUGGAGAGAUGGGGAUAUCUGGAGAGAGAGGACGUGAAGGAGAACCUGGUAUUAAGG